RNAcentral lists this ribosomal RNA (940 nucleotides) under Sabatieria armata. RNAcentral describes it as "SSU rRNA". It matches the Rfam family "Eukaryotic small subunit ribosomal RNA", at positions 51 to 995 of the family's 1831-position model. The record is from RNAcentral. Lineage: Eukaryota; Metazoa; Nematoda; Chromadorea; Araeolaimida; Comesomatidae.
AUGCAUGUCUAAGCAGAAGCCGCACAACGGUAAAGCCGCGAAUGGCUCAUUACAACAGCCGUCGUUUCUUGGAUCUCUAAUUUUACUUGGAUAACUGUGGUAAUUCUAGAGCUAAUACACGCACUAAAGCUCCGACCUUACGGGACGAGCGCAUUUAUUAGAACAAAACCAAUCGGGUUUCGGCCCGUUCGUUGGUGACUCUGAAUAACUAAGCCGAUCGCACGGUCUCGUACCGGCGACGUAUCUUUCAAGUGUCUGCCUUAUCAACUUUCGAUGGUAGUUUAUGUGCCUACCAUGGUUGUAACGGGUAACGGAGAAUAAGGGUUCGACUCCGGAGAGGGAGCCUGAGAAACGGCUACCACAUCCAAGGAAGGCAGCAGGCGCGCAAAUUACCCACUCUCGGCACGAGGAGGUAGUGACGAAAAAUAACGAGACGGAUCUCUUUGAGGCCCGUUAUCGGAAUGAGAACAAUUCAAAUCCUUUAACGAGGAUCUAGCGGAGGGCAAGUCUGGUGCCAGCAGCCGCGGUAAUUCCAGCUCCGCAGGUGUAUAUCUAUGCUGCUGCGGUUAAAAAGCUCGUAGUUGGAUCUGCGUGCUCGGAACCGGUUGGCUCACUGAGUUUAAACUGGUCUCCGGCGCUUUAUCGGCUGGUUUUCCCUUGAUGCUCUUAACCGGGUGUCUUGGGUGGCUAGCGCGUUUACUUUGAAAAAAUUAGAGUGCUCAAUACAGGCGCAAAGCCUUGAAUAGUGGUGCAUGGAAUAAUAGAAUAGGACCUCGGUUCUAUUUUGUUGGUUUUCGGAACAUGAGGUAAUGAUUAAGAGGGACAGACGGGGGCAUUCGUAUUGCGACGUUAGAGGUGAAAUUCUUGGAUCGUCGCAAGACGGACGACUGCGAAAGCAUUUGCCAAGAAUGUUUUCAUUAAUCAAGAACGAAAGUUAGAG